RNAcentral lists this ribosomal RNA (208 nucleotides) under uncultured bacterium. RNAcentral's name for it is "partial 16S ribosomal RNA". It matches the Rfam family "Bacterial small subunit ribosomal RNA", at positions 568 to 774 of the family's 1533-position model. The record is from RNAcentral.
UGCGUAGGUGGCCAUAUUAGUCGUUCGUUAAAAACCCGGGCUCAACCCGGGGAAUGCGGGCGAAACGGUAUGACUCGAGAGCGUGAGAGGUACAGGGAACUCUAGGUGUAGGGGUGAAAUCCGUUGAUAUCUAGGGGAACACCGAAAGCGAAGGCACUGUACUGGCGCGUUUCUGACACUGACAGCACGAAAGCGUGGGUAGCGAACG